Molecule: long non-coding RNA, 3056 nt
Filed under: Homo sapiens (human)
Lineage: Eukaryota; Metazoa; Chordata; Mammalia; Primates; Hominidae
Description: lncAB472.1
Source: RNAcentral
AAAAAAAAAAAAAAGAGAAAACCCCAUCAACCUAGAUUUCUAUAUCCAGCAAAAGUAUCCUUCAAAAGUGAAGAAAACAUUGUGUAUGUAAAGGCUACAGAAUGGUGGAUUUUAUGAUGGUUUAAAAAUGGUGACAUCCAUGUUAUAGAAAUUUUUUGCUCUCACAAAAAGAAUGAAAGAGAAACAAAAACUUUUUGAGGGCCAGGCACGGUGGCUCACACCUGUAAUCGCAGCACUUUGAGAGGCCAAGGCAGGAAGAUUGCUUGAGCCCAGGAGUUUGAGACAAGCCUGAGUGACAUAGUGAGACCCCAACUUUACAAAACAAUUAAAAAUUAGCUGAGUGUGGUGGCACGGUCCUGUAGUCCCAGCUACUUGGGAGGCUGAAGUGGGAUCCUUUGAGCCUGAGAGGUCGAGGCUGCAGUGAACCAUGUUUGGCCACUGCACUGCAGCCUGGGUGACAGUCAAGACCCUGUUUCAAAACAAAACAAAAAAAAAAAUACUUUCUCAGACAAGCAAAAAAAUGAGAGUUAUUGCCAGCCAAUCUGCCCUACAAAACAUGUUAAAAGCAGCUCUUAAGGGAGAAGGGAAGAGAUAUAGGUUAGAAACUCAGAUCCACAUAAAGGAACUGUCAGGAAAGGAGUACAUGAAGACAAUAGAAAAUCUUUUACAUUUCCUAUUCUUAGUUGAUCUAGUAGGUAACUGCCUGGCUAAAGUAAUAAUAGUAACAUUGUGUUGGGGUCCAUAGUAAAGGAUAGGUGAAAUCAAGAAUAGCACUCUUACAAGGGUGAGGAGAGAGGAACUGGGAAUACUCUGCUAGAAGACAGCUGCACUGCCCAUGAAGUGGUAAAGUGCAAUUUGAAAGUGGAUGUUGAUUAGUUGCAAAUCUAUAUUGCGAACUCUAGGACAAUGAAUUAAAAUGUUUUGAAAGAAGUAUAAUUAUAAUGCUAGAAAGUAAAAAGAGUGGAAUCAUGUAAAAUUCUCAGUUAAACCAGAAAAGACAGAAAAAGAAGGGAAGGUAAGAAAAACAAGGACAAGUGCACCUGCUAGAAAACAGCGGCAGACAUGGUAGAUAUUAAUCCAACUAUCUCAAUAAUCACUUUAAAUGUGAAUGGCGCUAAAUAUACCAACUAAAACACAAAGACUGCCAGUAGAUUAAAAAAAAAAGACCCAAUGAUAUGUUGUCUGUAAAAAAACCCAUUUUAAAUAUAAAGACACAAAUAGCAUAAAAAUAAAGGUAUAAAGAAAGAUAUACCAUGUUAAUACUAAUCAAAAGAAAACUGGAGUAGCAGUAUUGAUAUCAGAUAAGGCAAACUUCAGAGGGAGAAAAAUGAUCAGGGAUAAAGAGGGGCAUUAUAUAAUAAGAGGGUCAAUACUCCAAGAAGACAUUGUUAAAUCCUUAAUGUGUAUGCACCUAACAACAGAGCAUCAACGUAUGUGAAGCAAAAACUAAUAGAACUGCAAGAGAAAUAGACAAGUCCACUAUUAUAGUUGGAGACUUCAACACUCUUCUAUCAGUAAUUGACACAUUUAGCAGGCAAAAAAAUCAGUAAGGAUAUAGCUGAACUGGACAAUACUGUCAAGCCACUGAAUCUAAUUGACAUUUACAGUAUACUUCAUUCAACAGAGUACAUAUUCUUCUCAAGCUCACAGGAAACAUCCACCAAGAUAGACUACAUACUUGGCCUUAAGAUACACCUUACAAAUUUCAAAGAAUACAAACCAUAUAAAGUGUGCUCUCAGAGGAAAUUAAACAAAAUCAAAAACAGAAACGUAGAUGGGAAAUCUCAAAAUAACUGGAGAUUAAACAAAACACUUCUAGAUACCAGAUGGGUCAAAGAAGAAGUCUGAACAGAAAUUUUAAAAUGUUUUGAACUAAAUAAAAAUGAAAAUACAAUGUAUCAAAAUUUAUAGGAAGCAGUGAAAGUAGUGGUUGGAGAUAAAUUAUAAUAUUGAAUGCCUAUAUUAGAAGAGAUUAAAAAGAUUUAAAAUUCAUAAUCUAAGUUUCCAUCUUAGGAAACUAGAGAAGAAAGAUCAGUGUAAGCCUAAAGCAAGCAAAAGGAUAGAAAUAAAAAUUAUAGUAGAAAUCAAUAAAAUAGAAAACAAGAAACCAAUAGAAAAAUUCAGUGAAGUAAAAAUGUGCUAAUUUGUGCAGCAGCAAUAGAAAAAAGAAAUAAAAACAGUACUUUCACAGGUCAGUAAAAUGUAUAAACCUCUAGCUAAGCUAACUAAGAAAAAAAAACACAGAUUGCUGAUAACAGAAAUGAGAAAGGGGUCAUCACUACUGAUCCCAAGGACAUUAAAAAGAUAACAAAAGAAUAUUAUGAGCAACUCUGUACCCACAGAUUUGACAGCUUAGGUGAAACAGAUCAAUUUCUUGAAAGACACAAACAACCAAAACUCACACAGGGAAAAGAGAUGAUCUGAAUAGGCCUAUAUCUAUUAUGGAAAUUGAUAAAUUAUGGAAGUCAAUAAACAACCUUGCAAACAAGAAAGCACCAGACCCAGUGGUUUUGUUGUCAAAUCUAGCAAACAUUAUGGAAGAAAUGGUACCAAUUCUCUACAUUCUCUUCCCAAAAAAUAGAAGUGAAGGGAAUACUUCCUAACUCAUUUCAUGAAGUUAGCAUUUCCUGUAUCAAAAUCAGAUAAAAACAUUGGAAGAAAGGAAAACUACAGACCAAUACCUCUCAUGAACGUAGAUCAGCGGUCUCCAACCUUUUUGGCAACAGGUACCAGUUUUAUGGAAGAUAAUUUUUCCAUGGGACAUGGUGGGUGGGGCAGAUGGUUUCGGGAUGAAACUGUUGCACCUCAGAUCAUCAGGCAUUAGUUAGAUUCUCAUAAGGAGCUUGCAACCUAGAUCCCUCAUAUGUGCUGUUCACAAUAGGGUUCACACUCCUGAGAAUCUAAUGCUGUCGCUGAUCUGACUAGAGGCAGAGCUCAGGUGGCAAUCCUGGCUCACCUGCCACUCACCUCCUGCUAUGUGGCCUGAUACUGUUACUAGUCCCAGGCCUGAGGGUUAGGGAUCCCUGAUAUAAAUGCAACUAUUAGCAAAAUAUUAG